This 694-nucleotide ribosomal RNA is filed under the name uncultured bacterium. RNAcentral describes it as "bacterial SSU rRNA". It matches the Rfam family "Bacterial small subunit ribosomal RNA", at positions 336 to 1038 of the family's 1533-position model. The record is from RNAcentral.
CUCCUUCGGAGCAGCAGUAGGGAAUAUUCCACAAUGAGCGAAAGCUUGAUGGAGCGACACAGCGUGCACGAUGAAGGUCUUCGGAUUGUAAAGUGCUGUUAUAAGGGAAGAACAUUUGCAAUAGGAAAUGAUUGCAGACUGACGGUACCUUGUCAGAAAGCGAUGGCUAACUAUGUGCCAGCAGCCGCGGUAAUACAUAGGUCGCAAGCGUUAUCCGGAAUUAUUGGGCGUAAAGCGUUCGUAGGCUGUUUGUUAAGUCUGGAGUUAAAUCCCGGGGCUCAACCCCGGCUCGCUUUGGAUACUAGCAAACUAGAGUUAGAUAGAGGUAAGCGGAAUUCCAUGUGAAGCGGUGAAAUGCGUAGAUAUAUGGAAGAACACCAAAGGCGAAGGCAGCUUACUGGGUCUAUACUGACGCUGAGGGACGAAAGCGUGGGGAGCAAACAGGAUUAGAUACCCUGGUAGUCCACGCCGUAAACGAUGAUCAUUAGUCGGUGGAGAAUCACUGACGCAGCUAACGCAUUAAAUGAUCCGCCUGAGUAGUAUGCUCGCAAGAGUGAAACUUAAAGGAAUUGACGGGGACCCGCACAAGCGGUGGAGCAUGUGGUUUAAUUUGAAGAUACACGGAAAACCUUACCCACUCUUGACAUCCUUCGCAAAGCUAUAGAGAUAUAGUGGAGGUUAACAGAGUGACAGA